AUUGAACGCUGGCGGCAGGCCUAACACAUGCAAGUCGAGCGGAUGAAGGGAGCUUGCUCCUGGAUUCAGCGGCGGACGGGUGAGUAAUGCCUAGGAAUCUGCCUGGUAGUGGGGGAUAACGUCCGGAAACGGGCGCUAAUACCGCAUACGUCCUGAGGGAGAAAGUGGGGGAUCUUCGGACCCCACGCUAUCAGAUGAGCCUAGGUCGGAUUAGCUAGUUGGUGGGGUAAAGGCCUACCAAGGCGACGAUCCGUAACUGGUCUGAGAGGAUGAUCAGUCACACUGGAACUGAGACACGGUCCAGACUCCUACGGGAGGCAGCAGUGGGGAAUAUUGGACAAUGGGCGAAAGCCUGAUCCAGCCAUGCCGCGUGUGUGAAGAAGGUCUUCGGAUUGUAAAGCACUUUAAGUUGGGAGGAAGGGCAGUAAGUUGAUACCUUGCUGUUUUGACGUUACCAACAGAAUAAGCACCGGCUAACUUCGUG
RNAcentral lists this ribosomal RNA (484 nucleotides) under uncultured bacterium. RNAcentral describes it as "partial 16S ribosomal RNA". It matches the Rfam family "Bacterial small subunit ribosomal RNA", at positions 30 to 507 of the family's 1533-position model. The record is from RNAcentral.